Micropterus dolomieu (smallmouth bass) is the source of this 980-nucleotide long non-coding RNA. RefSeq lists it as uncharacterized. Lineage: Eukaryota; Metazoa; Chordata; Actinopteri; Centrarchiformes; Centrarchidae. The transcript is spliced from 3 exons. The record is from RefSeq and is a predicted model, not a curated record.
GAUGGAUAGAUAACUGGCACAGAGCUUCUCCAAACCGGUCUGCAGUGCUCACUACCUAUCAAAAGUGGUUCAACGAAGGAAAAGCAGUGGACGGCAAAGACUCACUGAUGCAAGUGGGAGCAAAGGCUGGCGAGUCCGAUCCAACAGACGAGCUACUUGUAUAAGGUGGCCCUUGGACACCGUUGGAUCUGAGUGAUAUGAAAUCCUGUUUAAUCAAUAAUCCAAUGACAAGUUGUCAUUCAUCAGUUUUACACCUGGUCAAGCAAAGAUUUUCUGAGUCGAGUUGCAGCAGUUUCGGAGGAUUUCUGAUUUGCACCAUCAUUUCCAGUUCAAACUCUGUUUGUUCUGGAAAUAACUCAACUGAAUCUCAUCCAUCAAACUUCAGUCCAGAAACAGAAACUCACCUCCUGAAACGGGUUCUUGUUCCUGGGAAUGGAGCUGAAGACGAAGAAGAGAAGGGAAGAUGAAGAUGACAUUCCCAAGCUUUCUACCAGUCAACAACAGUCAAUGUCUUACAGCCUGAACACUUCAGGUACAUGAACUGAGCACAAGUGAUUAGUAGGGAUGCACCGAAUGUUCGGCAACCUAAAUUAAAAAAGCACUUUCAGUGUUUGAUCUAAUAAGUGAAAAGACUGAAGACAUUUUACUGAACAAUUAUGUUGACAUGUCGGCAGUGUGGAAGGAUUUUAAAGAGACACAGAUAGAUUAAAAUAUCGCCGUUUCCAGACGCUGUUCUGCUGAAUUCCACUCCAACUGUGGCUGUCACUCGUUUGUGAGAAGGCGAUUAAGCUAGCCGCACUUAAAUUUGGAGUGCACACGUAUUUAAGCCUUUAUGGUAACUGAAACGGACCAGAGCGAGCUGACAGGCAGGUUAGGUCUCUUUACAAAGUCUGACAGUAUAAGAGUCCUACCUGAAGAGAGACUAUGAAGUCUUCAUGUUACGCCGUACGAGAACCACAUGCAACAUUAUUUAUCAAACU